RNAcentral lists this ribosomal RNA (598 nucleotides) under Citrobacter sp. AR-7. Its description in RNAcentral is "bacterial SSU rRNA". It matches the Rfam family "Bacterial small subunit ribosomal RNA", at positions 773 to 1371 of the family's 1533-position model. Lineage: Bacteria; Pseudomonadati; Pseudomonadota; Gammaproteobacteria; Enterobacterales; Enterobacteriaceae. The record is from RNAcentral.
CAGGAUUAGAUACCCUGGUAGUCCACGCCGUAAACGAUGUCGACUUGGAGGUUGUGCCCUUGAGGCGUGGCUUCCGGAGCUAACGCGUUAAGUCGACCGCCUGGGGAGUACGGCCGCAAAGUUAAAACUCAAAUGAAUUGACGGGGGCCCGCACAAGCGGUGGAGCAUGUGGUUUAAUUCGAUGCAACGCGAAGAACCUUACCUACUCUUGACAUCCAGAGAACUUAGCAGAGAUGCUUUGGUGCCUUCGGGAACUCUGAGACAGGUGCUGCAUGGCUGUCGUCAGCUCGUGUUGUGAAAUGUUGGGUUAAGUCCCGCAACGAGCGCAACCCUUAUCCUUUGUUGCCAGCGGUUAGGCCGGGAACUCAAAGGAGACUGCCAGUGAUAAACUGGAGGAAGGUGGGGAUGACGUCAAGUCAUCAUGGCCCUUACGAGUAGGGCUACACACGUGCUACAAUGGCAUAUACAAAGAGAAGCGACCUCGCGAGAGCAAGCGGACCUCAUAAAGUAUGUCGUAGUCCGGAUUGGAGUCUGCAACUCGACUCCAUGAAGUCGGAAUCGCUAGUAAUCGUGGAUCAGAAUGCCACGGUGAAUACGU